UCCAGCAAUGCCGCGUGUGUGAAGAAGGCCUUCGGGUUGUAAAGCACUUUUGUCCGGAAAGAAAUCCUUGGCUCUAAUACAGUCGGGGGAUGACGGUACCGGAAGAAUAAGCACCGGCUAACUACGUGCCAGCAGCCGCGGUAAUACGUAGGGUGCGAGCGUUAAUCGGAAUUACUGGGCGUAAAGCGUGCGCAGGCGGUUUGCUAAGACCGAUGUGAAAUCCCCGGGCUCAACCUGGGAACUGCAUUGGUGACUGGCAGGCUAGAGUAUGGCAGAGGGGGGUAGAAUUCCACGUGUAGCAGUGAAAUGCGUAGAGAUGUGGAGGAAUACCGAUGGCGAAGGCAGCCCCCUGGGCCAAUACUGACGCUCAUGCACGAAAGCGUGGGGAGCAAACAGGAUUAGAUACCCUGGUAGUCCACGCCCUAAACGAUGUCAACUAGUUGUUGGGGAUUCAUUUCCUUAGUAACGUAGCUAACGCGUGAAGUUGACCGCCUGGGGAGUACGGUCGCAAGAUUAAAACUCAAAGGAAUUGACGGGGACCCGCACAAGCGGUGGAUGAUGUGGAUUAAUUCGAUGCAACGCGAAAAACCUUACCUACCCUUGACAUGGUCGGAAUCCUGCUGAGA
This 626-nucleotide ribosomal RNA is filed under the name Burkholderia sp. IBa216. RNAcentral's name for it is "bacterial SSU rRNA". It matches the Rfam family "Bacterial small subunit ribosomal RNA", at positions 387 to 1006 of the family's 1533-position model. The record is from RNAcentral. RNAcentral also lists the same sequence under 4 other names. Lineage: Bacteria; Pseudomonadati; Pseudomonadota; Betaproteobacteria; Burkholderiales; Burkholderiaceae.